CCAUUGUUAGGCUGGCGUGAGGAGUACAUGUCAGUGAUUAGAGCGUACUCGUCGAGCUGUGAGUCACAGGCACAUCAUAUCCAUAACACCUGUGCACUUGUCGGAUGGCUUAGUGAAGACCGCAAGGUUGGAACUAUCCGUCUACUUUACAUAACAAUUCUGUAACAAAUGUAGUCUUAUUAUAACAUAAUAAAACUUUCAACAACGGAUCUCUUGGCUCUCGCAUCGAUGAAGAACGCAGCGAAAUGCGAUAAGUAAUGUGAAUUGCAGAAUUCAGUGAAUCAUCGAAUCUUUGAACGCACCUUGCGCUCCUUGGUAUUCCGAGGAGCAUGCCUGUUUGAGUGUCAUGAAAACCCUCAACCUUAGAUUGGUUAAAACCUUUCUUUGGCUUGGAUUUGGACGUUUGCCGAUGAUAAGUCGGCUCGUCUUAAAAGUAAUAGCUGGAUCUGUCUCGCGACAUGGUUUGACUUGGCGUAAUAAGUAUUUCGCUAAGGACAUCUUCGGAUGGCCGCGUUGCAAGACUAAAGACCGCUUUCUAAUCCAUUGAUCUUCGGAUUAAUAUUCUUGACAUCUGGCCUCAAAUCAGGUAGGACUACCCGCUGAACUUAAGCAUAUCAAUAAGCGGAGGAA
This 630-nucleotide ribosomal RNA is filed under the name Naganishia uzbekistanensis. Its description in RNAcentral is "eukaryotic LSU rRNA". The stretch from base 194 to 347 matches the Rfam family "5.8S ribosomal RNA". Lineage: Eukaryota; Fungi; Basidiomycota; Tremellomycetes; Filobasidiales; Filobasidiaceae. The record is from RNAcentral.